CAAGGAGGUCUUCAACAUCACGGGCUCCAGCAGCCCCACCGCCUGCAUGAGACUUGUGCAAAGGCUGCUCAACUCCUCCUCUUCCUGCAGCCUCUCCAAGCAUUCCCUCAGCAGUGUUCUCCAGCCCCUCCAGACCAGGUUUCUGGUGAUUUCUGAGGCCAUGGACUUCAUGAGAGAAACUGUUCCCUCUCCUGACUUGGGCCAGGCUGUCAAGAGGCUGUGUGGGAUGUCCCUCAAAGAGCUGGUUAGGGAGUCCCAAGCAAGCCAGGAUACACUUGCUGAGUACUGUGCUGUGUCUGCCUUCAUCUUCCAUCUCAGCACAAAGGGGUACACGCUCGACGUUGACCGGCCUGCUUGGACUGCGUUCCAGAAGAAGGUCAGUCACAGUUACCAGGGAGGGCUGGUUCCACACUCACAAGCCCUGACCAGCUGGGCUUCUCCAGCAGGAUGGUUUUGCAAAGUGGAUUCACAGUUGUGAUAAAGAAGAAAACCGGUGUCACAGAGCUAGAGGUGACACUUGUCCCUGCUGAAAAACAGACCUUGUCUGGAGCAACGCCGUCUUUAGGAGUCUGUGACAGGGAAGGAAGUGCAGCUUGAUCU
RNAcentral lists this long non-coding RNA (600 nucleotides) under Manacus vitellinus (golden-collared manakin). RNAcentral describes it as "lncRNA (ENSMVIG00005008713.1)". Lineage: Eukaryota; Metazoa; Chordata; Aves; Passeriformes; Pipridae. The record is from RNAcentral.